GGGGAUGUUGGGGACAUUUGGGGUGUUGGGGGUGUUUGGGAUAUUCGGGUGUUUGGGGUGUUGGGGACAUUGGGACCCCAACGACUACGUGCGCGCCAUGCGCGAGAUGAACGGUGCGUUUUUUGGGGGGGUUUGGGGACAUUUGGGGACAUUUGGGGACAUUCGGGGACACCUGGGGUGUUUGGGGACAUUGGGAACGUUUGGGGUGUUUGGGGAUAUUUGGAGACGUUGGAGACACCAAGGAGAUUUGGGGAUAGUUGGGGACAUUUGGGGAGAUUUGGGGACAUUUGGGAUCUUGGGGACAUUUGGGGACAUUUGGGGACAUGGGGACAGCAGGGCCCCCAGUCCCUCCCAGUGCCUCCCAGUCCCCUCCCAAUCCACUCCCAGUCCCCUCCCA
Molecule: long non-coding RNA, 397 nt
Filed under: Anas platyrhynchos platyrhynchos (common mallard)
Lineage: Eukaryota; Metazoa; Chordata; Aves; Anseriformes; Anatidae
Description: lncRNA (ENSAPLG00000027760.1)
Source: RNAcentral